GUCGAGCGAGCGGAACCACAGAUUUACUUCGGUAAUGACGUUGGGAAAGCGAGCGGCGGAUGGGUGAGUAACACGUGGGGAACCUGCCCCUAAGUCUGGGAUACCAUUUGGAAACAGGUGCUAAUACCGGAUAAUAAAGCGGAUCGCAUGAUCAGCUUUUGAAAGGCGGCGUAAGCUGUCGCUAAGGGAUGGCCCCGCGGUGCAUUAGCUAGUUGGUAAGGUAACGGCUUACCAAGGCGACGAUGCAUAGCCGAGUUGAGAGACUGAUCGGCCACAUUGGGACUGAGACACGGCCCAAACUCCUAUGGGAGGCAGCAGUAGGGAAUCUUCCACAAUGGACGCAAGUCUGAUGGAGCAACGCCGCGUGAGUGAAGAAGGUUUUCGGAUCGUAAAGCUCUGUUGUUGGUGAAGAAGGAUAGAGGUAGUAACUGGCCUUUAUUUGACGGUAAUCAACCAGAAAGUCACGGCUAACUACGUGCCAGCAGCCGCGGUAAUACGUAGGUGGCAAGCGUUGUCCGGAUUUAUUGGGCGUAAAGCGAGCGCAGGCGGAAAAAUAAGUCUAAUGUGAAAGCCCUCGGCUUAACCGAGGAACUGCAUCGGAAACUGUUUUUCUUGAGUGCAGAAGAGGAGAGUGGAACUCCAUGUGUAGCGGUGGAAUGCGUAGAUAUAUGGAAGAACACCAGUGGCGAAGGCGGCUCUCUGGUCUGCAACUGACGCUGAGGCUCGAAAGCAUGGGUAGCGAACAGGAUUAGAUACCCUGGUAGUCCAUGCCGUANACGAUGAGUGCUAAGUGUUGGGAGGUUUCCGCCUCUCAGUGCUGCAGCUAACGCAUU
RNAcentral lists this ribosomal RNA (833 nucleotides) under uncultured bacterium. Its description in RNAcentral is "bacterial SSU rRNA". It matches the Rfam family "Bacterial small subunit ribosomal RNA", at positions 61 to 861 of the family's 1533-position model. The record is from RNAcentral.